CCUUGCAUAACAAGCACAAUGCGAGGACUGGGUCAAAUUUCAAAAGGUCUGAUGACUUUUACACAUCGCUCUACGCUUAUUCAGCAGGCCAAAUUUACAUAUGGACUUCCCAAGUACCGCAUGCCGAAAAACAUAAAGUACCUUCACGGUGUGGUGCUCAUGAUCAUCAUAACGGGGCCCAUGUUUUACUACUGCAAGCAAUUCAAGAAACUUACAAUGAACAUUGCAGCUAACAAGUGAUUGCUGAAGGUGGUGUGGGGAAAUACUCGAUGGACCAAUAGUUAAAAGAAACAGAACUGUGUUAUUAUAAUAGAAAAAAAAGAAAUUGAUCUCAAUCUUAUACCAAAAACCCAAGCUUAAAAUUUAUUAGAAAAUUAAAGUAUGUGUAAGUGUAUAGUAUACUGUAUUUAUAAAAUUCAAAACAUAUGUAAUGAUGUAUUUCCCAAUAAAAUAAUUUAGAAUGA
Long non-coding RNA from Mya arenaria, 464 nucleotides. RefSeq lists it as uncharacterized. Lineage: Eukaryota; Metazoa; Mollusca; Bivalvia; Myida; Myidae. The transcript has 2 exons. The record is from RefSeq and is a predicted model, not a curated record.